GAGUUAGACCUGCCCAGUGAUCUAUUUUUCAACGGCCGCAGAAUUUUAACUGUGCUAAGGUAGCAUAAUUCAUUUGUCUCCUAAUUAGAGACUAAGCAUUGAUACGGCUUAAAACGAAGUUUACCUGUAUCUUUUUUAUUAAAUGUAAUUUAAUCUUAAAGUCAAAAAGCUUUAAUAUCAUAAAAAGACAAAAAGACCCCAUAGAGUUUAAUUUUAAUCAAUUUUAAUAAUAAAACUAUAAAAUUUAGUUGGGGCAACUAAGAAAAUAAUUUUUC
This 275-nucleotide ribosomal RNA is filed under the name Dorymenia vagans. RNAcentral's name for it is "partial large subunit ribosomal RNA". The record is from RNAcentral. Lineage: Eukaryota; Metazoa; Mollusca; Solenogastres; Cavibelonia; Proneomeniidae.